CCUACGGGUGGCAGCAGUGAGGAAUAUUGGUCAAUGGGCUUACGCCUGAACCAGCCAAGUCGCGUGAGGGAAGACUGCCCUAUGGGUUGUAAACCUCUUUUGUCAGGGAGCAAUUGGCGCUACGUGUAGCGUUAUCGAGAGUAUCUGAAGAAAAAGCAUCGGCUAACUCCGUGCCAGCAGCCGCGGAAAUACGUAGGGGGCAAGCUUUAUCCGGAUUUACUGGGUGUAAAGGGAGCGGAGACGGCAGGGCAAGUCUGGAGUGAAAGCCCGGGGCCCAACCCCGGAACUGCUCUGGAAACUGUGCGGCUAGAGUACUGGAGGGGCAGGCGGAAUUCGUGGUGUAGCGGUGAAAUGCGUAGAUAUUAGGAGGAACACCAGUGGCGAAGGCGGCCUGCUGGACAGUAACUGACGUUGAGGCUCGAAAGCGUGGGGAGCAAACAGGAUUAGAUACCCGAGUAGUC
Molecule: ribosomal RNA, 461 nt
Filed under: uncultured bacterium
Lineage: Bacteria
Description: partial 16S ribosomal RNA
Rfam family: Bacterial small subunit ribosomal RNA
Source: RNAcentral